AGGUAAGCUACUAAGAGCGAAUGGUGGAUGCCUUGACUGGUAAAGGCGAUGAAGGACGUACUAGACUGCGAUAAGCUACGGGGAGCUGUCAAGAAGCUUUGAUCCGUAGAUUUCCGAAUGGGGCAACCCAAUGUAUAGAGAUAUACAUUACCUAUAUAGGAGCGAACGAGGGGAAUUGAAACAUCUUAGUACCCUCAGGAAAAGAAAUCAAUAGAGAUUGCGUCAGUAGCGGCGAGCGAAAGCGCAAGAGGGCAAACCCAGUGCUUGCACUGGGGGUUGUAGGACUGCAAUGUGCAAGAGGUGAGUUUAGCAGAACAUUCUGGAAAGUAUAACCAUAGAGGGUGAUAGUCCCGUAUGCGAAAAACAAACCUUAGCUAGCAGUAUCCUGAGUAGGGCGGGACACGAGGAAUCCUGUCUGAAGCUGGGUCGACCACGAUCCAACCCUAAAUACUAAUACCAGAUCGAUAGUGCACAAGUACCGUGAGGGAAAGGUGAAAAGAACUGAGGUGAUCAGAGUGAAAUAGAACCUGAAACCAUUUGCUUACAAUCAUUCAGAGCCCUAUGUAGCAAUACAGGGUGAUGGACUGCCUUUUGCAUAAUGAGCCUGCGAGUUGUGGUGUCUGGCAAGGUUAAGCAAACGCGAAGCCGUAGCGAAAGCGAGUCUGAAUAGGGCGCUUAGUCAGAUGCUGCAGACCCGAAACGAAGUGAUCUAUCCAUGAGCAAGUUGAAGCUAGUGUAAGAACUAGUGGAGGACUGAACCCAUAGGCGUUGAAAAGCCCCGGGAUGACUUGUGGAUAGGGGUGAAAGGCCAAUCAAACUUCGUGAUAGCUGGUUCUCUCCGAAAUAUAUUUAGGUAUAGCGUUGUGUCGUAAUAUAAGGGGGUAGAGCACUGAAUGGGCUAGGGCAUACACCAAUGUACCAAACCCUAUCAAACUCCGAAUACCUUAUAUGUAAUCACAGCAGUCAGGCGGCGAGUGAUAAAAUCCGUCGUCAAGAGGGAAACAACCCAGACUACCAGCUAAGGUCCCUAAAUCUUACUUAAGUGGAAAACGAUGUGAAGUUACUUAAACAACCAGGAGGUUGGCUUAGAAGCAGCCAUCCUUUAAAGAAAGCGUAAUAGCUCACUGGUCUAGUGAUUUUGCGCGGAAAAUAUAACGGGGCUAAAGUAAGUACCGAAGCUGUAGACUUGCACACAACUUAGAUUAUUUAAGUUUAGAAUAUGAGAAACUAAGUUAUAUGUUUAGUUAUAUUUUUACUGAUUUUUAUAGAGUAAAGAUAGAAAUAAAACUUAGUAAAAUCAGUAAAAAUAUUCUUAGACUAAAGUUAAGUAGUUUAAGUUGUGUGCAAGUGGUAGGAGAGCGUUCUAUUUGCGUCGAAGGUAUACCGGUAAGGAGUGCUGGAGCGAAUAGAAGUGAGCAUGCAGGCAUGAGUAGCGAUAAUUAAUGUGAGAAUCAUUAACGCCGUAAACCCAAGGUUUCCUACGCGAUGCUCGUCAUCGUAGGGUUAGUCGGGUCCUAAGUCGAGUCCGAAAGGGGUAGACGAUGGCAAAUUGGUUAAUAUUCCAAUACCAACAUUAGUGUGCGAUGGAAGGACGCUUAGGGCUAAGGGGGCUAGCGGAUGGAAGUGCUAGUCUAAGGUCGUAGGAGGUUAUACAGGCAAAUCCGUAUAACAAUACUCCGAGAACUGAAAGGCUUUUUGAAGUCUUCGGAUGGAUAGAAGAACCCCUGAUGCCGUCGAGCCAAGAAAAGUUUCUAAGUUUAGCUAAUGUUGCCCGUACCGUAAACCGACACAGGUGGGUGGGAUGAGUAUUCUAAGGCGCGUGGAAGAACUCUCUUUAAGGAACUCUGCAAAAUAGCACCGUAUCUUCGGUAUAAGGUGUGGUUCGCUUCGUAUUAGGAUUUACUCCGAAAGCGAAGAAACUUACAACAAAGAGUCCCUCCCGACUGUUUACCAAAAACACAGCACUCUGCUAACUCGUAAGAGGAUGUAUAGGGUGUGACGCCUGCCCGGUGCUCGAAGGUUAAUUGAUGGGGUUAGCAUUAGCGAAGCUCUUGAUCGAAGCCCGAGUAAACGGCGGCCGUAACUAUAACGGUCCUAAGGUAGCGAAAUUCCUUGUCGGUUAAAUACCGACCUGCAUGAAUGGCGUAACGAGAUGGGAGCUGUCUCAAAGAGGGAUCCAGUGAAAUUGUAGUGGAGGUGAAAAUUCCUCCUACCCGCGGCAAGACGGAAAGACCCCGUGGACCUUUACUACAGCUUGACACUGCUAUUUGGAUAAGAAUGUGCAGGAUAGGUGGGAGGCUUUGAGUAUAUGACGCCAGUUGUAUAUGAGCCAUUGUUGAGAUACCACUCUUUCUUAUUUGGGUAGCUAACCAGCUUGAGUUAUCCUCAAGUGGGACAAUGUCUGGUGGGUAGUUUGACUGGGGCGGUCGCCUCCCAAAUAAUAACGGAGGCUUACAAAGGUUGGCUCAGAACGGUUGGAAAUCGUUCGUAGAGUAUAAAGGUAUAAGCCAGCUUAACUGCAAGACAUACAAGUCAAGCAGAGACGAAAGUCGGUCUUAGUGAUCCGGUGGUUCUGUGUGGAAGGGCCAUCGCUCAAAGGAUAAAAGGUACCCCGGGGAUAACAGGCUGAUCUCCCCCAAGAGCUCACAUCGACGGGGAGGUUUGGCACCUCGAUGUCGGCUCAUCGCAUCCUGGGGCUGGAGCAGGUCCCAAGGGUAUGGCUGUUCGCCAUUUAAAGCGGUACGCGAGCUGGGUUCAGAACGUCGUGAGACAGUUCGGUCCCUAUCUGCCGUGGGCGUAAGAAGAUUGAAGAGAUUUGACCCUAGUACGAGAGGACCGGGUUGAACAAACCACUGGUGUAGCUGUUGUUCUGCCAAGAGCAUCGCAGCGUAGCUAAGUUUGGAAAGGAUAAACGCUGAAAGCAUCUAAGCGUGAAGCCAACUCUAAGAUGAAUCUUCUCUAAGCUCUCUAGAAGACUACUAGUUUGAUAGGCUGGGUGUGUAAUGGAUGAAAGUCCUUUAGCUGACCAGUACUAAUAGAGCGUUUGGCUUAUCUUU
RNAcentral lists this ribosomal RNA (3056 nucleotides) under Campylobacter coli. RNAcentral describes it as "23S ribosomal RNA". It matches the Rfam family "Bacterial large subunit ribosomal RNA". Lineage: Bacteria; Pseudomonadati; Campylobacterota; Epsilonproteobacteria; Campylobacterales; Campylobacteraceae. The record is from RNAcentral.